Molecule: ribosomal RNA, 381 nt
Filed under: uncultured bacterium
Lineage: Bacteria
Description: bacterial SSU rRNA
Rfam family: Bacterial small subunit ribosomal RNA
Source: RNAcentral
AUUGAACGCUGGCGGCGUGCUUAACACAUGCAAGUCGUGCGGUAACAGGCGUAGCAAUACGUGCUGACGAGCGGCGAACGGGUGCGUAAUACAUGGGAAUCUGCCUUUUAGUGGGGAAUAACCCGGCGAAAGCCGGGCUAAUGCCGCAUAAGAUCUUCGGAUGAAAGCGGGGGAUCGUAAGACCUCGCGCUGAUAGAUGAGCCCAUGCCGGAUUAGCAGUUGGUGAGGUAACGGCUCACCAAGGCGACGAUCCGUAGCUGGUCUGAGAGGACGGCCAGCCACACUGGGACUGAGACACGGCCCAGACUCCUACGGGAGGCAGCAGUGGGGAAUAUUGGACAAUGGGGAACCCUGAUCCAGCGACGCCGCGUGUGUGAAGAA